GGAAAAUUUGGAGUAGUUGGGGGAGAGGUAAAAGUUAAAGUAGGAUGGUCGAAAUGGUCUUUUUAGUGUGUAAAAGUCACAGCAAUUAUAAGUGUGUGUGUGUAGGAAAAGUUACCGAGGUGUGGUAAUUUCUUACUUUACAUUGUUUUUUCUUUUUUUCGUUUGUUUGUUGGGUAUGUGCUUUUAUGUUAAGUAGCGGUGGUGAAUUUAAAAGUUACCGCGGUUGAAAAGAGUGUAGGGGGAGGCUGAAGUGGCUG
Molecule: unclassified non-coding RNA, 257 nt
Filed under: Hevea brasiliensis (rubber tree)
Lineage: Eukaryota; Viridiplantae; Streptophyta; Magnoliopsida; Malpighiales; Euphorbiaceae
Source: RNAcentral